GCACCAGUGGUCUAGUGGUGGAAUAGUACCCUGCCACGGUACAGACCUGGGUUCGAUUCCCAGCUGGUGAA
This 71-nucleotide transfer RNA is filed under the name Salvia splendens (bonfire salvia). It matches the Rfam family "tRNA". From Rfam's summary of the family: Transfer RNA (tRNA) molecules are approximately 80 nucleotides in length. Their secondary structure includes four short double-helical elements and three loops (D, anti-codon, and T loops). Lineage: Eukaryota; Viridiplantae; Streptophyta; Magnoliopsida; Lamiales; Lamiaceae. The record is from Rfam by way of RNAcentral.